Molecule: ribosomal RNA, 499 nt
Filed under: uncultured bacterium
Lineage: Bacteria
Description: bacterial SSU rRNA
Rfam family: Bacterial small subunit ribosomal RNA
Source: RNAcentral
UGGCCCGGGUUCUGACGCUGAGGCGCGAAAGCCGUGGGGAGCAAACCAGGAUUAGAUACCCCUGGUAGUCCCACGCCCUAAACCGAUGUGUGCUAGACGUCGGGGGGACUUGUCCCCUCCGGUGUUCGCCGCUAACCGCAUUAAGCACACCCGCCUGGGGAGUACGGCCGCAAGGUUAAAACUCCAAAGGAAUUGACGGGGGCCCGGCACAAGCGGUGGAGCCAUGUGGUUUAAUUCGACGCAACGCGCAGAACCUUACCAGCCCUUGACAUGGUGGCCGCGGCCCGGCGCGAGCCGGGCGUCCCCGCAAGGGGGCCAUCACAGGUGCUGCAUGGCUGUCGUCAGCUCGUGUCGUGAGAUGUUGGGUUAAGUCCCGCAACGAGCGCAACCCUUGCCUCUAGUUGCCAUCGGGUUGGGCCGGGCACUCUAGAGGGACUGCCGGUGACAAGCCGGAGGAAGGUGGGGAUGACGUCAAGUCCUCAUGGCCCUUACGGGCUGG